This 92-nucleotide transfer RNA is filed under the name Nitrospirota bacterium. RNAcentral's name for it is "Nitrospirae bacterium (groundwater metagenome) tRNA-Ser". It matches the Rfam family "tRNA". From Rfam's summary of the family: Transfer RNA (tRNA) molecules are approximately 80 nucleotides in length. The record is from RNAcentral. Lineage: Bacteria; Pseudomonadati; Nitrospirota.
GGAGAGAUGUCCGAGUCCGGCUGAAGGAGCACGACUGGAAAUCGUGUAGGCGGCCUUAAACUGUCUCGGGGGUUCAAAUCCCCCUCUCUCCG